GACGAACGCUGGCGGCGUGCUUAACACAUGCCAGUCGAACGGAAAGGCCUGCUUUCCCUUGUGGAUUGCGGGUACUCGAGUGGCGAACGGGUGAGUAACACGUGAGUGAUCUGCCCCCAACUUGGGUAUAAGCCCGGGAAACUGGGUCUAAUUCCCGAUAGGACUGCAGGGUGGUGCCUGUGGUGGAAAACGAUUUUCUAGUGGUUGGGGAUGAGCUCGCGGCCUAUCAGCUUGUUGGUGGGGUAAUGGCCUACCAAGGCGGCGACGGGUAGCCGGCCUGAGAGGGUGGACGGCCACAUUGGGACUGAGAUACGGCCCAGACUCCUACGGGAGGCAGCAGUGGGGAAUAUUGCACAAUGGGCGGAAGCCUGAUGCAGCGACGCCGCGUGGGGGAUGACGGCCUUCGGGUUGUAAACUCCUUUCGACCGCGAGGAAGCCACCUGGUUGGAAGGGUGGUGACGGUAGUGGUAGAAGAAGCACCGGCUAACUACGUG
RNAcentral lists this ribosomal RNA (494 nucleotides) under uncultured bacterium. RNAcentral's name for it is "partial 16S ribosomal RNA". It matches the Rfam family "Bacterial small subunit ribosomal RNA", at positions 28 to 507 of the family's 1533-position model. The record is from RNAcentral.